Molecule: ribosomal RNA, 159 nt
Filed under: Neofusicoccum parvum
Lineage: Eukaryota; Fungi; Ascomycota; Dothideomycetes; Botryosphaeriales; Botryosphaeriaceae
Description: 5.8S ribosomal RNA
Rfam family: 5.8S ribosomal RNA (bases 27-159)
About the family: 5.8S ribosomal RNA (5.8S rRNA) is a component of the large subunit of the eukaryotic ribosome.
Source: RNAcentral
GUCUGAAAAACAAGUUAAUAAACUAAAACUUUCAACAACGGAUCUCUUGGUUCUGGCAUCGAUGAAGAACGCAGCGAAAUGCGAUAAGUAAUGUGAAUUGCAGAAUUCAGUGAAUCAUCGAAUCUUUGAACGCACAUUGCGCCCCUUGGUAUUCCGAGG